This 492-nucleotide ribosomal RNA is filed under the name uncultured bacterium. Its description in RNAcentral is "partial 16S ribosomal RNA". It matches the Rfam family "Bacterial small subunit ribosomal RNA", at positions 29 to 507 of the family's 1533-position model. The record is from RNAcentral.
AGUGAACGCUGGCGGUAGGCCUAACACAUGCAAGUCGAACGGCAGCACAGUAAGAGCUUGCUCUUACGGGUGGCGAGUGGCGGACGGGUGAGGAAUACAUCGGAAUCUACUUUUUCGUGGGGGAUAACGUAGGGAAACUUACGCUAAUACCGCAUACGACCUACGGGUGAAAGCAGGGGAUCUUCGGACCUUGCGCGAUUGAAUGAGCCGAUGUCGGAUUAGCUAGUUGGCGGGGUAAAGGCCCACCAAGGCGACGAUCCGUAGCGGGUCUGAGAGGAUGAUCAGCCACACUGGAACUGAGACACGGUCCAGACUCCUACGGGAGGCAGCAGUGGGGAAUAUUGGACAAUGGGCGCAAGCCUGACCCAGCCACACCGCGUGGGUGAAGAAGGCCUUCGGGUUGUAAAGCCCUUUUGUUGGGAAAGAAAAGCAGCAGGUUAAUACCCCGCUGUUCUGACGGUACCCAAAGAGUAAGCACCGGCUAACUUCGUG